This 253-nucleotide ribosomal RNA is filed under the name uncultured bacterium. RNAcentral's name for it is "partial 16S ribosomal RNA". It matches the Rfam family "Bacterial small subunit ribosomal RNA", at positions 524 to 776 of the family's 1533-position model. The record is from RNAcentral.
UACGUAGGGUGCGAGCGUUGUCCGGAAUUAUUGGGCGUAAAGAGCUCGUAGGCGGCCUGUCGCGUCGGAUGUGAAAGCCCGGGGCUUAACCCCGGGUCUGCAUUCGAUACGGGCAGGCUAGAGUUCGGUAGGGGAGAUCGGAAUUCCUGGUGUAGCGGUGAAAUGCGCAGAUAUCAGGAGGAACACCGGUGGCGAAGGCGGAUCUCUGGGCCGAUACUGACGCUGAGGAGCGAAAGCGUGGGGAGCAAACAGG